Molecule: small nucleolar RNA, 74 nt
Organism: Macadamia integrifolia
Lineage: Eukaryota; Viridiplantae; Streptophyta; Magnoliopsida; Proteales; Proteaceae
Product: small nucleolar RNA Z105
Exons: 1
Source: RefSeq, a predicted model, not a curated record
CGAGUAUGGUGAUGAAGAUCUUAAAUCUACCGAUACAUUUCAUGACUGGAUAAAAAUCCUCCUACUCAUUCUGA